AAAGACACCAAGUCUUGGGAGAAGCCUUUCAACAACCCUUUAGGUGUUUCACGCAUUAAGUCCCUUAGACACCUCUCUUUAAAGUACAUACCUAUAACUGAUGAAGUUGUUGGGCUGGUUCUAUCCGAAUGUCAACUUCUUGAACACCUCAGUAUUUGUCACUCAAGCGAUCUUUAUGCUGUGAAAGCAGUUGGUUCAUCACUCCGGUUGAAGUUCCUACAAAUAAGUUAUUGCGGUGGCAUAGUCAGAAUUGAUAUUUCUGCCCCUAAUCUUGUGUCAUUUAUAUAUCGCGGACAAAAUGUGUACAGAAGAGGAAUUGUUUUGAAACAUGCACCCAAGCUUGUCUACGUAUCUCUCUCAGAAGACGAACCUGAUAGCAUUACCAAACAUCUUCUGUCGAUAUCAGCUCGACUUUCAUACCUUCAGACUCUCCACCUGUGGAUGAAUCUGAGAAGGGUUAGACUCUCAACCUGUUAUUUACUUUAAAAUUUUCCUAGCUUCUUGUGCUUGUUGGUUGAUCAUUUUCAAGUUUUUUACGUUCCUAUCUUUCAGACAAAUGUUAUGCUCCCACAAUUUCCCGAAUUAACUAGUCUCAAAGACUUGUCGUUGACUGUACAUGCCAAAAAUUAUGGUCCAAGUCUCCUGGAUAUGACUUCCUUGUUAGAGCAAUCUCCCUUCUUGCAGAGAUUAACAUUCCAGGUAAAUUCAAUAUAUCUAUUAACGUGGUUUUUAGAAGUCAUAUGUUGAUCCUCUACUUUUCAAAUAUAUUAACGUGGUCAUCAACAUUGUAUUAUUGAUAAUUCCGUUCCUCCUAGAAAUCGCAAAAGCAUGGAAUUUAAAAUGAUGAAUUUAAUGUUCAUUUGGAAUUUUUGAACUUUUUAUCUGUUUUUUUAAUUUUGUGCAUGUAGUUGAUAUUAGGAAAUGAUUUCAUUACUUUAUAAUUAGUUACACUGAGGUAUUUAUAUAAACUAGAUUUACACAGGUAAAGAGAAUAGUUACAGUGGUAACUAUUUGUAACUAUUCUAACAACUAACUAACUUGACUAACACUAAUGUUUUACAAUGGUAACUUGCUCUUCACACCCCCUCAAGCUGAACGGAGAAGGUUGAAGUGAAAGCUUGGAUCGAAGAUGAAGAAAACGUGGCCUUGGCAGAGAUUUGGUGUGAAUAUCCGCUAAUUGAUCCGCACUGCAAACAAAUUUGACAGUAAGAAGCUUAGCCAAAACAAGCUCACGGAUGUAAUGAUAAUCGAUUUCAACAUGCUUUGUGCGAGCAUGAAAAACCGGAUUUGAAGUCAAGGCAAUUGCAGAAACAUUGUCACACCAAAUUUGUGGCAAGGAGGACAACUUGAAACCAAUAUCAGAGAAGAGUUGACAGAUCCAAGUGAUCUCAGCAGCGGUAUGUGCAAGGGAGUGGUACUCAGCUUCGGUAGAGGAUCGGGCAACUGUGUGCUGUUUCUUUGCACUCCAACUAACUAGACAAGGACCAAGAAAGAUGCAAAAGCCUCCAGUGGAACGCCUAUCCCACGAACAUCCUGCCCAGUCAGCAUCGGAGUAGGCGUUGAGAAGGAGGGGAGAUGUGGUUUUGGGAAACCAUAAGCCAAAUCCAAGUGUCCCUUUUAGAUACCGGAGGAUGCGUUUCACGGCUUGAAAGUGAGGCUCCCGGGGAGAAUGCAUGAACUGACACACCAGAUUAACCGCAAAGGAUAAAUCAGGCCGGGUCCAUGUAAGAUAUUGGAGGGCGCCAACAAUAGAGCGAUAGUCCUCGGGAUUCGACAACAAGGAACCAGUGUGAUCAAGCUUGACAGAACUAAGGGGAGUGGCACAUGGCUUUGCCCCAUCCAUUUUGGUACGCUUGAGAAGAUCCAAUAUGUAUUUGGAUUGAUGAAUAAAGGCUCCGGAGGUGGAUUUCUGAACUUCCAGACCGAGAAAGUAAUGAAGAUCGCCGAGAUCCUUGAUUGGAAAUGUAGAGCUCAACUGAGAAAUGAUGGUGUUGCAGACACUAGAAGAAGGUCCGGUCACUAUGAUAUCAUCGACAUACACAAGAACCAAAACCAAGGUAGGUUGAUGCAGCACAAACAGACUAUGAUCAGAGUGUGAAGCUUGAAAUCCCAUUGAGAAAAGAGCAGAUUGAAGUUUUUCAUACCAAGCACGAGGGGCUUGCUUUAAGCCAUAUAAGGAUUUCUUCAAGUGACAGAUAUGAGUAGGAUGAUCCUGAUCAAUGAACCCAGGUGGUUGAGCCAUAUAUACAUUCUCUUUCAAAGAACCAUGGAGAAAAGCAUUGCUUACAUCCAGCUGGUGUAAAAACCAGUUUGAUUGGACGGAAAGGGUGAGAAUGAUGCGGAUAGUCACAGGUUUAGCAACCGGGCUAAAAGUAUCACCAUAAUCAAUGCCCUCUUGCUGAUUGUAACCUUUUGCAACGAGUCGAGCCUUGUAACGAUCCACAGAACCAUCUGGUUUCCUCUUAAUCCGGAAAACCCAUUUACAGCCAACCAAAUUAUGAGUGGAGGUAGAAGGAACAAGCUGCCAAGUACCUGUACUUUGUAAAGCAUUGAAUUCAUCCUGCAUAGCAGCCCUCCACUGUGAAUGUUUGGAAGCCUGGAGAUAUGUAGUAGGUAUAAACUCACUGUCAAAAUGAGAAGGCAGAGGAUGGGUUGUGGCAGUAAGAGCCUUAGGUUUGUAUAUGCCUGACUUAGAGCGGGUUUGCAUUGGGUGAACAGAGGAAAUAGGAGGUACAGGAGGAGGGGCAGGGUGUAGAGAAGGAGAGGCUGGUAGAGGAGAAGAGGGAGGUGAGGGAGGUUGCAGAGGUGCAGGACAAGGAGCAGGAGAAUGAACUUGCUCAGUAACUGGCGCAGGUUGAGGAGGGGAGGAAGAGAUGGGUGGUGGAACACGGGAAGGGAGAGAAUUAGGAGAAUAAAGAUUGGGAAAGGUAAGGGAAAAAUGUGAGUAAGGUUCUGGGGUAUGGGGAGUGGAGGACUUUAGAAGGUGGGGAUCAUGAAAAGGAAAUGUAUGUUCAUCAAAAUGAACAUGUCUAGAGAGAUAAACCCGAUUAGUGAAGGGAUCUAGACAUCUAUACCCCUUGUGAGCUAAGCUGUAGCCAAUGAAAAUACACAUCUUGCUCUUGGGAUCUAAUUUGGAAUUGGUGUAUGGUUUUAACCAAGGAAAGCACUGACAUCCAAAUACCCGAAGAGACUUGUAAUCUGGAACUUUCUUGAAAAAUUGUUCCCAAGGGGAAGACUUGUUGACUGGAGGUAGGCGAUUGAUAAGAUAGACUGCAGUAAGAAAACCUUCAACCCAGAAUUUGUGAGGAACUUGUGAGGCAAUAAGGAGGGUUCGAGCAGUCUCAACAAUAUGUCUGUGCUUCCUUUCAGCACAACCGUUUUGCUGAGGAGUGUAAGGACAACUGAAUUGUUGCUGAAUGCCAUGGAGAGACAAAUGAUGCUUGAAGUUAGAACUUGUAAACUCACCCCCUGAGUCUGAUCGUAAAGUACCAAUUUUGUAACCAGACAGAUUUUCAACAAGAGCUUGGAAUUGCACAAAAAUUUGAAACACUUCCGAUUUAUGUUUGAGAGGAUACAGCCAAGUAUAUAUUUGGUAAAAUCAUCUACAAAUAUGACAUAAAAGCGGUAGCCACUAACAGAACAUACUGGAGCUGGCCCCCAAACAUCCGCAUGAACCAAUUCAAGAGACCUAGAAGUAGUACAGAGAGAUUCUUGAAAUGGUAACUUGGCACAUUUGCCUAAAACACAAUUGGAGCAAAAGAAUUGUUGAACAUUAUUAGAAUCAGGUAGUAUAGACUUGGAUAACAGUGAUCGAAAAGUCUUGAACGAUGGAUGACCCAAACGUUGAUGCCACACAUGAGAAGAGGUCCUUAUUGCAGAAUGAGCAUGAACCUUCGGUGCAGGUGAAGAAGAAGCAUAAAAUGGAUAGAGACCAUUGCUGACAGGAGCUCUAAAAAGCAUCCUCCCCGUAGUAAGAUCCUUGACAUGGAAGUCAAAAGGAUUGAGGGUUAAUGAACACCAAUUAUCACGCAAGAACAUAUUGGCAGAAAGAAGAUCAUGCUUCAAGUGGGGAACAUGUAACACAUUCUUUAAUGUAAAAUCUGCAGAAGGUGUUUUAAGUAAAGUAGAACCAGUAUGGAGAAUUGGCAAACCUUGGCCAUCUCCAAUGUAGACUUUAUCUAGACCAGUAUAGGGCUGUGGAUUCUGAAGAUGAUGAAUAUUAUUGGUCAUAUGGGAGCUUGCGCCGGAAUCCAGUAGCCAUGGUGGUGGAGAAGAAGUACUAGAAGAUGCGUACAUCGCAAGUUUGGCGGGCGGGAACACGGCCUUGAAAAGUUGGAUUCAUGCGGUGGGAACAGUCAAUGGCAGCAAGAUGGCCAGUGUCCUCACAAAUUUGACACGGAAUGACUGCAGAAGUGAAAGAACGGAAGCCACGAUUUCCACCUCGAUUUCCACCACGAUUAGUUGAGAAAUUAGUAAACCGAUUGGAACGAUUACGGUUGUUGUAGGGCCUUUGAGAAGUGUUCCGCUGAAAAUUACCGCGAUUAUUGCCAGGGUAAGAAUGCUGAGAAACCAUUAGACUGAGCAUUGUAGGCCUGAUGUGGUGGAGGUGUAGGAAGCAAAGGAGGAGCAUUGGAAGCUGCUGGAAUAGAGGUGAAUGCCUGAUACGGUUCAGAGGAACCCUGAGAUUGCUUGCGACGAGCAAGAGCCAUUUCUUUGCUGAGAAGAAAUCCAUGGAGAUCAUCAACAGUAGUAUCAGCAAGACGAAAUUGAAUUGAAUCCACGAAGGAAUCAUAGUCAUCAGGCAAGCCAUUUAAGAAUGAGGUGAAGGAGAUCCGACUCCUCAACAGGGGCACCACCAAACACCGGCAGCAGCGAGAGCAUCAGAAACUUCUUUGAUUCGUUGCAAAUAUUCAGAUAUUGUGGAAGUGCCUUUCGACAUCAAUUGCAAAUUCGAUCGCAACUGAUGAAUGUGAGAACGAGAGACUCCACCGAAUCGCUUCUCAAGAUUUUGCCAAAGUUCACGGGAGGAUUGAACACCAACAGUAAAGGGAAUCAAAUCCUCAGAAAGAGUGGAAUUAAUCCAAAUGAGGAUGUUUUGAUCCUUUUCAUACCAGAUCUCGAAGGCUGGAUUCGGAAUCGAGGACAAAUUUCCAGAAAGAUCAGCAAGAAAUUGAGGCGGUGGCGGUUCAGAUCCAUCAACCACGCCGCUGAGCUUGUAGCGGCGGAAGAUCGGUUCGAACAAAGAACGCCAAACAAGGUAAUUAUGACGCUUGAGUUUUGUUUGAAUCAUACUCCCAAUGUUUUGGAUCGUGAUGGAGUUGAGUGAAGCUUGAAAGGAGGAGUUAGGGUUCAUCUGAGAAGGAUUGAGAUGUGGAGGCAGCGAAGAGGAAGGAUCCGCGAUCGCCGGAGAAGGAGGAUGCGCAGCCACAGGAGAGGAAGAAUUCGAAGAAUUUGCCGCCAUUGAUGAACAAGAUCGAAGAUCUGCAGACGGAAGCUAUGGUGUUUGGUAGGUAAGAAAAUAAGCAAGAAAAUAGUAGAAAGAGGAUCGAAGUCGGUGGACUUAAGCGAGUGAUACCAUAUUAGGAAAUGAUUUCAUUACUUUAUAAUUAGUUACACUGAGGUAUUUAUAUAAACUAGAUUUACACAGGUAAAGAGAAUAGUUACAGUGGUAACUAUUUGUAACUAUUCUAACAACUAACUAACUUGACUAACACUAAUGUUUUACAAUGGUAACUUGCUCUUCAGUUGAGAUUAGUGUUCAUUGAACAACCGAGUGGAAAUUACAAGCAACAGGAAAGCGUAUUUUUACCACUUGUGAUUUUUUUUUCAUUACCGCAUGAAACUUCUACUUGUUUUGAACUUUUGAUACGAGCGAUAGUGGGAAGGAGAAACCAAACUCGAGACCUCGGGUUUGAGGGUGGAUACUCCUAACCAACUAAACUACAAGUCAUUUUCUCAAACUUCUGUGUGUUGAAGUAACUUGUCAUGAGAAGAUUAAUAUGAAUGUGGUAUGCUCCUCUUACAGUUACAAUGGGGAUAUGUUCGCGAGGGUUAUACGAGAAAUAUGCAGGAGAUUAAAAGAUGUCCUCAUCAAUGCCUUAAGGUGGUGAGAUUUUCUGGGUUCAUUGGGAUGGGCGGGUCAAUUAUCGAUACGGAGUUUGCCAUGUAUCUGGUGGAAAAUGCUGUGGUACUUGAAAAGUUUAUCAUAGAACUUGAAAAGGUCGAAUUAGCUUAUAUACUGCCAGAGUUUGCUACAACGGAGGAGAAAUUAGAAGCAACAAAGGAGCAUGCUUUGCAGCUAAUUGGAACACAAUUACCACCAGGAGCUGAGUUGUUUAUCAUAUAAGUCCUUUCAUUUAUCUGUUUUUGCAGCAUACUUGAAGCUUUUUUUUAGUCUGCAACAUUUGUAUAAUUCGCAGUUUGCAAGUUUGCAGUUACUGAUCAUGUAAUGUUUUAAGGGUAUCAAUGGAUUAGUUUUGAGUUGGGUAUGACCUUGGUUUCUUGAUGUCGGUUUUCCCAUAUUUAUUUUAUAAUUUUGACAUUUUUCUGAAGAGUGCUGCUAGAUUUACCUAAAUAACACAAGUGUCACAGCAAAGAUGAGAUAUAACCCAUGUUGACGAGUUGAGGGGAGACUGACUUGUUUAUCAAGUCGUUUGACUUUUCCACUUUGCAGCAACUACAACUAUGGUCAAGCAGGCAAGGACUCGGAAAGGAUCUGAUAAACAACCCGGAUCUAGUGCCCACGGACCCGGUUGUAUCAUUGUCUUGGAUGGCUCCACAGGAAAACAAGCCAUCAAGCCAUGAUGUCAUCAGUGGUAGGUCCAUCUAGGCAGACAGAUCAGCGGGUCGGAUUCCCGGGUAUGGAGUGAUCACCAACAUCAUCAACGGAGGGCUUGAAUGGGGCAAGGCUCAGGAUGCUAGGGUUGCUAGUCGGAUCGGGUUCUACAGAAGGUACUGUCAGAUUUUGGAAGUGAGUCCGGGGGAUAACUUGGAUUGUUACAAUCAAAGGUCUUCUGCCUAAAAAAAUAUGCUAAAGUUUAGUCUUGGAGAUGUUGUCAUAAGACAAUAAUCCCAUCCUAUGUACUAAAUGAAAUGCAAUGAUCCUAUGUAAUAAAGAAAUUUCUCGUUUACACUAUAAGUUAGUUGUCUUAGUUGUGAUACGAGGAUGAGAGAAUCGAACACAAAAACUUAGUUGAUGUUGUUGUUGCAAUGAUAAAUCACUUAAUAUUAUACUACUACUAAGAAACUUACUUUGUUUAUAAAGUUAUAGGCGGAAUCAUGUGCGCCUUGUUUAUAAAGUUACAGUUGAUGGUACCUUGCAAUUACCUUAAAUUCCUUUUCACUAAAUAGAAAUGAGCAUUAGUUGGAGAUGACAUAUAUAAAUUGAUAGGCAUAAUUGACGGAAAAAACAAUGUAUGGCCUUGUAAAAACAUUGUAAAGCUCCAACUAAGCUCCUAAACAUUGUGGGAUCAGUCAAUGGAGUACCUUCAUCCUUAAGUACUUGUGUGUGGGGUUUACAAGGAGUAAGACAUGGUUUACAAGAUUCCUUUCCAGCCUUUUUCAACAAAUCAUUCAUAUACUUUGACUGAGAAAUGAAGAUAUUACUAUUACUAGUGUUGUUUUAGUUUGAUGUUAUUGUAGAUGUGAACUUUUUUACAUAAUGUAGAGCUAAAAAUAGGUCCAAAAUUUCUGGAGGCGACACGUGGACUUUUAGCGAAAAAAAGACAAGACUGCCCUUAUUAAGCUUAGCAUCCUAAGACAUGCAUUUAGCAGACUACGACUGCUUAGAGCUCCACUGCACGUGGAAAAUGUCAAAGGUAUUUCAUGAUAAGAUUAUCCUUAAAUCCUAGCAUUAAUAUAGUCUUGAUUGAAUUCUAUCAAGUAAGUAAUCCCAAUUAUAUUUAAUUAGGGAUAAUUACCUUUAAUUCCAAGAUAUUAUUUACACAAUAUCCAGGGAAUAUUCUCACCAAAUCCUACCCUAAUGGUCGGCCAUCUCAUUUGUAAAUACCCCAUUUCUCCACAAAAAAUGGGUAAGGUUUUCUAUAUACAGAAAACCUUAAACAUUCACUCUUUUCAGGGAAACUAACUCAGGGCUUGUUUGGAUGUGCUUUUAAAAUGACUGAAAGCGUUUUUAGAGAAAAUGCUUUUGGAUUUCAAAAGCACUUUGAGUGCUUUUUCAGGAUUUACUUGCAUUUUUACUAUGGAUUGGUUCUAAAAACAUUUUCACCAAAAGCAUCCAAUCAUUUUAAAAGCACAUCCAAACAAGCUCUUAGGUCUUGGAAAUCUGUUCCCCUCCCCCCCCCCCCCAAAAAAAAUCAUGGGUGAGUGAGGUCUUUGAUUUUUUUAUCAAAUGUGUUGAUUGUUUUGCAGGUGCAUUUUCAUCAAAACUGAAAAUAGCGGAAAUUUGCAUUGACACAUAUAAUUUGAAGAUGCUCUUAUCCUACUGAUCAUAUAAUGUUAAAGGUCUUUGUUUUCAUAUUUAUUUUAGAAUUUUAAAUAUUUUCUUACAUGUCUUAUUUUUCUCACAUGUCCUCCCUUAAUGAAAAUUCUCACAACAAAAUUUAUCUAAAGUGGAUCAAAAUUUUGAAUGAAUAGGUGAGAAUAACAACCAUUCUCUUUGAAUAUCUAAAUAUCAAAAAUGCUACUCUUGUCAUAUUUUUAUAUCAUAUUUGUGCUCUUAUUUAAUAGAGAUAGAACGCACUUAUAUUGGUGUGUCACAUAAAGGAGAUAAACAAGAGGAAAAGUGCUUAUAAAGGAAAAACAAGUGGGAGAGUGCAAAAUAACUAUUUUUGGGCAAUAAUAACGUCCUUAGUUAUAUGUUAAAUCAAUUUUGUAAUUAUGCAUUAUUUUUUCCGUCUCAUUGUGUCUCGGUUUAAAUUCUCUCUGGUAAUGAUUAGUGUAUAUCAAUUAUAAUAAUUAAAUUAAAAUAAUUUAUUAUGUAUAGAUGAUAUUUAAGGGUGACUUUUUUGUUUUGGUACAAACGAUAUUAUCGUCACUAAGAAAAAUGGAGGUUAGCCUCAUAAUGAGCUAGCAAUAUAAUGGUUCAAAUUCAUCAUUGACGAGAAUCGAAUCUAAAAUCUCUUACUUAUAAAUGAAGAUAAAUAUUAUUUUACGAUAAUCAAAAGAGAGACUCGCAGGUACAAAGACAACUAUAAAGAGGAAGGUAUCUAGCUUUAUGUUUCCUCCAUGUCUCUUUUUUGUACAUUUUAACUUCUCUAGUAAGCUCGAGUAUCCAUUUUCCAACCCCAACACUCUCCCCACAUUUCCGGCUGUCCACGUUGGCCAAUCAUCACCUGAGCCACUCCCAACCCUCACCGCGGUGCCCACCCCUCCACCACCACCACCUCCUUCUCCUCUCUCCGAUCUCCUCGAAAACCAGUUACGAAAUCCUAAAAACAAGUAAGUUCCCUUCUUCCUCGCUCUCUUUCUGAUUUAACAUUAUCUAGCUUAUUUGAUAUCAUCCAUGAAUUUAUAUUUUAUCGCCUUUGAAAUCGACGAAUAUUAAGUAAUUUAGUUACAUUCAUCGUUUUUGAAAAUUCUAAAAAUUAGUUUCAAAUCGAUCAUUAAGUAAUUUAGCUGCUAAACUGACUAGCUAGUAGCUAGCAUGAGACUCUAGGCUCUGGCAUACUUACUGACAGGUUCUUUGUAAAUUUUUCUAACUUGCCUCAGAAUCUGCAGCUUAUCUGACUAAAUUGUUCCAGUAUUAAGUUCAAUAGUUAGCAAAUCGAAGAAGGUUCGAUGGAAAUUCCAACUGCAUCAACAUAUGAUAAAAAACAAGAUAAAACUCCGAUGAAUUUGGGUGAUAAGGGAGAAACAAGUAAUCCGUUGGAGGAUCGGAUUAGUCAACUGCCCGACGCGGUUCUGGUUGACAUCAUUUCCCCGUUGAGGAUUAAGGAAGUAGCAAGGACUAGUGUCCUCUCUAAGAGGUGGAGAUAUUUGUGGACACAUGUUACACGUCUCAACUUUGCUCAUCAUGUUGGUGAACAUCCACGUACCUCCACAAGGACCACAACAGUUAAUCCGUCAGAGAGAAGACCUCUAGAAGAAGGGAUCAGCAGAAGACAACGAAUCCGGCAAACGCGCCAGGGUUUAACACCUUUAAACUUAGGCGAAUUCAGAGUUGGUUCUUCCUCAGAGGGUUCCGGUUCAAGAUCUAGGCACCCCGAUGCGAUUCCAAGACAAAUUGGCCCACCAUCACCACCACCGUGUACGGUGGUGACUAAAGUCCUGCAAUCGCAUCAGGGUCCAACCGUCGAUGGGAUCAGAAUUUGUGGGUCUUGUUAUAACUCGGAUCAUGUUGAUAAUGUUAUCGAAUUUGCAAUUCAAAAGAAAGUUCAAAGGCUUGAGCUAGAGAAAUCGAAAGAAAAAGACGCCAAGUUUUGGGAGAAGCCAUUCAAAAACCCUUUCGGUGUUUCACGCAUUAAGUCCCUUAGACACCUCUCUUUGAAGUACAUAAGUAUAAGCGAUAAAGUUGUUGGGCUGGUUCUAUCCGACUGUCAACUUCUUGAACACCUCAGUAUUUAUGACUCAAGCAAUCUUUGUGUUGUGAAAGCAGUUGGUUCAUCACUCCGGUUGAAGUUCUUGCGAGUAAGUCGUUGCCGUAGCUUAGUCAGAGUUGAGAUUUCUGCCCCUAAUCUUGUGUCAUUUAUAUAUGACGGUCCAAAUAUGUAUAGAAGAGGAAUUGUUUUGAAACAUGCACCCAAGCUUGUCAACGUAUCUCUUUCAGAAGACGAACCUGCUAAUAUUACCAAAGAUCUUCUGUCGAUUACCAGAGAUCUUCUGUCGAUAUCAGCUCGAUUUUCAUAUAUACAGACUCUCAACCUGUCGAUGAAUAUGACAAGACGGGUUAGACUCUCAACCUGUUGUUUACUUUAAAAUUUUCCUAUCUUCUUGUACUUGUUGGCUGAUCAUUUUCAAGUUUUUUGUGUUCCUGUUUGUCAGACAAAUGUUAUGCUUCCACAAUUUCCAGACUUAACUAGUCUCAAAGACUUGUCGUUGACUAUACAUGCCCAAAAUGAUGGGCAAAGUCUCCUGGAUUUGACUUCCUUGUUAGAGCAAUCUCCUUUCUUGCAGAGAUUAACAUUGAAGGUAAAAAUCAAUACAUCUAUUAGAGUGGUUUAUAUCAUCGCAAAGCGUCUAUCACAUUUUUACAAGUCAUAUUUUGAUCCUCUACUUUUCAAAUAGAUGAAUGUGGUCAUCAACCUUGUAUUACUGACAAUUCCGUUGUUCAUAGAAAGGGAAAGUUCGUUUCAUCAGUAUAGUUUACAAGUAGAGUUAUAGAAAGGGAAGGGCCAUUUCAUGAUUUGAGAUCGUAACAAGUGAAAUUGUUCAAUUUUUCUCUUUACUGAAUUAAACUUCUGCAUGUUUUGAACUUUUGAUACAAGCGAUACUGGGGCGGAGAAACCAAACUCGAGACCUUGGGUAUGAGGGUGGAUGCUCUUAACCAACUAAACUACAAGCCAUUUUUCUCAAACUUCUGCAUGUUGAAGUAACUUGUCAUGAGAAGAUUAAUAUGAUUGUUGUAUGCCCCUCUUCCAGAUACAAUGGGGACCUGUUUGCAAGGGUUAUACCAGAAACAUGCAGGAGAUUAAAAGAUGUCCUCAUCAAUGCCUUAAGGAGGUGAGAUUUUCUGGGUUCAUUGGGAUGGGCGGGUCAAUUAUCGAUACAGAGUUUGCCAUGUACCUGUUGGAAAAUGCUGUGGUACUUGAAAAGUUUAUCGUAGAACUUGAAAAGGUUGAAUUAGCUUUAUGGCCCAAUAUACUGCCAUGGUUUGCUACACCGGAGGAGAAAUUAGAAGCAACAAGGGGGCAUGCUUUGCAGCUCAUUGGAACACAACUACCACCAGGAGCCGAGUUGGUUAUCAUUUAAGCCCUUUCAUUUACCUGUUUUUGCAGCGUACUUGAAGCUCAUUUUAGUUUGCAACAUUUAUAUAAUUCGCAGAUUGCAAGUUUGUAAUUACCGAUCAUGUAAUGUUUUAGGGUUAUGAGUUGGGUGUGAUCUUGGUUUGUUGAUGCCUUUUUUCCUAUAUUUGUUUUAUAAUUUUGACAUUUUAUGAAGAGUGCAACUAGAUUUACUACAUGUCAUAUUUUCAUGCCCAUUCUUCCUUAAUGAAAAUGUUUAUUGCAAAUUUUAUUUAAGGCGGGUCGGGUUGGAAAAUAUGAGAAGUGUAGUUUGAAACAGUGUAUAAAAUUUUUCAAUCGAUUUUUUUUUUUGGAAAUAUCGAAAAAAUCAGAUAACAUAUGAAAAUGGAAAGUGAAGUUUAACGUUCACAAGAUGUCAGAGAAACUCUUAAAUUUCAGCUAAAAUCGACAGAUGUUAUUAAUAUUUUUUACAUCUCGAUUAAAUAUAAAAAAACUGCCAUAUAUCCUAAAGUUUCAUUUUAAAUGUCUACGUUUUUUUUAGCAAAUAUCCAUCACUUCCAUCGAAAGCGACUUAAUAUUAGGGAAUUGUUAUUAGCACUCCUAAAAUCUUAUUCUACACUCCAAACUGCAUGUAGGACGUUAGCAAUCCGGAGUCUAUCUUCACCAGGCCAACAAGACUGCAUGUAGGACGUUAGCAAUCCGGAGUCUAUCUUCACCAGGCCAAACGACUCUUCUGAUGAACUGCAACAAUUGACAAAAUCCCCAACUGGAAAGCCCUGGACAGGAAGCCACGAUAAUUUUUCACACUUCUAGUCAUUGGCUGUAAGAUCUAUACUAGAUUUUGUCAUCAACAUUGUAUUAUUGAUAAUUCUGUUCCUCCUAGAAAUCGCAAAAGCGUGGAAUUUAAAAUGAUGAAUUUAAUGUUCGUUUGGAAGUUUUGAAGUUUUUAUCUGUUUUUUUAUUUUUUAUUUUUUUGGCAUAUAGUUGAGAUUAGUGUUCAUUGAACAACCGAGUGGAAAUUAAAAGCAACAGGAAAGCGUAUUUUUACCACUUGUGAUUUUUUUUUUCAUUACCGCAUGAAGCUUUGUUUUGAACUUUUGAUACGAGCAAUAGUGGGGAGGAGAAACCAAACUCGAGACCUCAUAAAUGAGUGUGGAUGCUCCUAACCAACUAAACUACAAGUCAUUUUCUCAAACUUAUGCGUGUUGAAGUAACUCGUCAUGAGAAGAUUAAUAUGAAUGUGGUAUGCUCCUCUUGCAGUUACACUGGGGAUGUCUUCGAAAGGGUUAUAAGAGAAAUAUGCAGGAGAUUAAAAGAUGUCCCCAUCAAUGCCUUAAGGUGGUGAGAUUUUCUGGGUUCAUUGGGAUGGGCGGGUCAAUUAUCGAUAUAAGACUGAAAAUAGCGAAAGUUUGCAUUGACACAUAUCAUUUGAAGAUGCUCUUAUAUUACUGAUCAUAUAAGGUUAAAGGUCUUUGUUUUCAUAUUUAUUUUAGAAUUUUAAAGGUUUUCUUACACGUCUUAUUUUUCACAACAAAAUUUAUAUAAAGUGGGUCGAAAAUGUAACAACCCGUAUCCAAAUUUAUGUUUUCAAUGAGGAAAAUUACGAAAUUACCCUAGUGACGGAAAGGUCGACUUUUGUUGAAUUUCGUCUGUUAACGUAUUAGAAAUUUUCACUUAUUUUAUUCCCGUAGCUCUCGUCGAUAUGAACGUGUAGGCACGAUUGAAAUAGAAUUUGGAACUAAAACAAAGCUUUUACGAUUUUUGUACAAUAGAGGAAAUUAGGUAAUUUUGUGGUGGAUAUUUUUCUCCAUUUUGGGCCUCUACAUGGCCCACACGUGGCGAUUCCCCACCCCAUUAAUUGGGAUGUUUCCUUCCCCACCCAUGAGCCCUCUCUCUCUAGAACACUCUUGCUCUCUCUCGUCUCAUCUCCGGCGAGAUCACUCACACACCCAUACAUACAUACAUACACACAGACAGCUACCCAACCCUCAUCACCUCUAUCUGGACCUCCCUUCUCUCCCUCACCCCUCCGAGCUCUCUCUCUCUCUCUCUUUCACCUUCUUAGCAUUAUGCAUCGUCACUGUGCACGCGGUGUUUCGAUGAGGUAAGUUGAACUCACCCCUAAUAUAUGACGGGUUUAGUAAGGUGUUUCGCAAGUGUUUGAGGCUUUUUGGUAGUGUUUUAACACAGGAACACCACGGAACCAUUUUCUCUAUAUUUUUCGAUGAGACCCGACGACUUUCGAGCUAAUUUCCGGCCACGACACCACUCCAAAAUGGUACAAAUCUCUUUUUCUGGUGUCAAGCUUCAUUUUGGCUUUUGAAUCGUUGCAAAUGGUGCAUAAACAAGCUUGAUCGGAGCUUGGGAAGCUCCAACUUCGUUCUCCGAGAAAACUAGCCUGGAACCAGGUCGACUCGACUCGUGACCCUAUGACACAACUCUAAACCCAGCCCAAAACCUUGGGCCUAUAUAGCCAAGCCCAAAACAGAACCAGGCCCAAUCCUUUAGGCCUAAACCAAAUCCCAAAACCCCCGGCCUAAUCCAGAAACCCAGUUCACGGUUGGCCCGUGGGUGCGCGUGGUGACCGGCGCGUGGAGCACACACGCCUCAGCUGAAGGAACUGUGCUCCACCGCCGUCCACAGCAACAACUUUUGCGGCCAACUUUUCGGUGACUCAUCUUGAUGUAUGGUGGUGUGUGUGGCAACAAGUGGCCUUUCGGGCCGUCGCCUUGUGGCGGCGCGUGGGGGAAACCGGGGUCCCUUCUUAGGUUAUUCGACAUGCCAAAUCCGAAUCUGCUAUCCAUUUUUGGAAAUUCCAUCGUUUUAGUAGAAUUUUAUUAAAUGCACUCUCUUUGUGUUUAGGUGCAACAAUUGGAAACGAUCCAGUCCAUCCUAGUUCGAGUGGUUCUCCGGUAAUGGAGUACUUGUGAGUAGACCCCUUCUAAACUUACACAUUUUUAUAAAAAAAAAUUAGCCUAGCAUGCAUUUCAUACUUAAUGAUUUGAGCAUGUUUUAUAAUAUGUUUGACAGAGAAUUUAUGAUUUCUUUAAAUUGCUUUUACGGAAUAUUUAUGAUUUAUCGAAUUUACAUUUUACUAAAGGUUAUGAAUUAUUAGAAUUGCAUAUAUGAAAUUCUAUGGAUUUAGAAUAUGAGUUAUUUUGCAGGUUUACAGAUAUGAGAUUCCAUGGAUUUACGGAUAUGACUUACUAUGGAUUUAUGAGACGAAGUUUGAGCUUUUGAGCUAUGGUGAUUUGAAAUGAGAUUUUUAAGGUAUGUUUAAGGUACUUAUCUAAUGGGUUAUCAUACAACACAUCCACACAACACAGGUAUGUAGUCUAUGACCAUAUGACACAUUUAAGGAGAUUUAUGUAUAUACCUCUUCUCCGGCGUAACCUAGAGUCGUACAACUUCACCUUUGGGUGAUGGACCAUGGUUUUCUUCACUGGCAUAACCCAGUGGGGUGGUGGAUAGGUAUUGCCUUCAGAUGGAUGAGGAGCAGAUGAUAUUAAUGAUAUACCCCCAACUUCACUAGCCUAGGGUUAGUGUCAGUGUGUGAUGUUAUAUAUCCUCUUCUCUGGCAUAACUCGGAGUCGUACAACUUCACCUUUGGGUGAUGGACCAUGGUUUCUUCACUGGCGUAACCCAAUGUCGUAUAGCUUCACCUUCGGGUGAUGGACAGGUACUGCCUUUGGGCGACUAUGAUAUCCCUAGAAAUAGUACAUUUGAGGAGAUUUACGGAUUUACCUUCGGGCAGCUAUAUUACUAUUUCUGAACCCUGUUUUAUACACAUUGGUUUUACAAAUGAUUUCAUGGCAUGCUAGGGUUUUCUGGGAAACCUAUUAUGUAGUAUUAUAUUUGUUUGUAAAAAGGGGGUUAGUAUGUUCAGACAUAAAAUGGUUUUCCUAUUAUUAGUAUUAAUAAAAAUUAUGGUCCACUCACCUUUUCUUUUUUCGCCCCCUCAGGACAUAUCAACGAAGAGUACGACCCAAGCUUCGAGGCAUGUCCCUAUCAGUGACCUUGCAUCUCUCCACUUCAGUAUGGAUUCUUUUCAUGAUCAUUGUUACCUAUUGUUUUACUUCGCUCUAGCACUUUCGUUUAGUAGUAUGCUCUGGACAUAUUCAUGAUUGUUGAAUACUUCGUUUCGUUCAUGCUUAAAUUGAAUGCAUUGUUGUUAUUGCUUCUUAAUGUUGCAUAUUCGUUGUGAAUGUUAUUUCUUGCAAAAUUUUGUAUUUCUUAUUCAUUCACAUCCUCAUUGAUUCACACACUCAUAGCUUUCGUCAUCCUUGGGUGUCGGCCAACAUGUGCCAUCCAUGUGGCAUUUGGAUAUCUGGGUUGGGGCAUGUCAGUUUGGUAUCAGAGCUUUAUUGGUUCGAUUUUUAUUGAUUCCGCCAUAAUGUUUUACCUCCUCGAUCCGAUUUCAUUGGUUCCUUCUUAUGGUUUUACUGUUGUUGGUCUAGAGCAUACUUAAGAUUUCGCAUUACUCCCUUGAUUGUUAUUUCCCUUCCCUUGGUUGUUAUUUCGCUCCAAUAAUUUUUAUUUUCUUCCAUUGAUUGUUAUUUCCUUCCAUUCUAUAUAUUUCCUACCAUUGAUUUGUAUUUCCUUCUAUUGAUUGCUAGUUCAUCCAUUAAUUGUUAUUUCCUUCCAUGGAUGGUGGUUUCCUUCCAUUGUUGGUUAUUUCCUUCUAAUCAUUUUUAUUUCUUUUCAUUGGUUGUUAUUUCCUUUCCACUAUUACUAUGUCUUUCCAUUAAUUGUUAACUUCUUCAGAUUAUCGUUGUCUUACUCCAUUAAUUGUUAUUUCUAUCCGUUGAGUACUACUUCCUCCUGUUGACUACUAAUUUCUCCCGUCUUGAUUGAGAAAUAUUUUGUGAUGCUAAACUUUAUUUUUGUUGUUUCUCAUAAUCAUGAACACUCAUGGCGGAAAUGUAUCUCGUCGCAAUAAUAUUAUCUCGUGGCAAUAAUAUUCCUCAACGCCCACAUUUUGGUGUGUUAGGUAGAUUUCAGCAACUGGCUUCCGCUCUGCAACAUGUGUUCCCUAGGAACAGCGGGCAUAGCCACACCUACGUGGAGAUUGCCCGUGUCACGGGGUGAUUGAUUUGAAUAUUGUGGGCGCCUGUGAGGAGGCAAAAGAGUGGCUUGAAAAAGUUGAGGAUGUUUUUAAGGUGAUGCAUUGUCCUGAGAAAGAGCGGGCAAAAACAAUUGGUCAUUUUCUUCGAGAUGGUGCUAAGACCUGGUGGGAUUCUAUCAGACGAUCUUGGCCUUCUAACCCACCGACGACAUGGAGGAUUUUCCGAGAACUUUUUACAGAUUAUUUCCUUAGUCCUCAGUACAUAGCUAGAAAAAGACAAGAAUUUUAUGCUCUUCGCCAAGGAAACUUGUCAGUUAUCGAGCUCGAUUGCCAUUUUAGACGUUUGGUGAAACAUGUUCCCUCAGUUGAUGGUAACUAGCGGGAAAUGAUGUAUCAUCUUGGUAUCACUCUAAGGGAUAAGUUCCGCCCUUUUAUGUCAGUGACACAGUUUGACUCUUAUAAUAGUAUGAUCCAUACAACAUUACGAGUAGAGUGAUCAUUCCUAACUUCCAACAGUCAUAAUCGGUUUCGAGGUCAAUCUUCUCGGGGUCGAUGUUUCCGAUCACAGAGCACUAGAGAGUGCACUUCAUCAUCUAAUAUUGACCCGAGACAUUCAUUUUCGUUCAAAUGUCGUGGACAGGGAUCAUGAUCUUCUAAUGAGGGGUCAGGCAGCGAGGCAGCGAGACAGUUCUUCAGCCACUUCACACCCGCAAUCCCAAUGUGCAUGCGUUGUGGUAAACGUCACCGAGGAGGUUGUGUUGCCGGGGAUGGUCUAUGCUUCAGAUGUGGAGGUAUAAGACACUAUGCUCGUGACUGCCCUAUAAGGCGACCUUUUAAGAGCAUUGCAUCGGGUUCAGGCUAUGCUGGGGGGAGUAGCUCAGGUACUCAGGAGCAGAGCCAGGCACAUCAGCAGAGUUUGUGGACGGCUUCUGGCAACUGCACGUAGAGUAAUUGCCCAGGUAGAGGGUAAUCGUGGUGUUCGCACUCGCAGAGGUAGAGGUCGCAGCUCAAGUCAAGGUUACUGGGCGCAUUAACGUUAUGACUCAUCAGGAGGCAUAACAGGAUCCCCAAGUCAUCACAUGUAUGAUAUUCACUUUUGAUCGUUGGGUACAUGUUUUGAUUGAUCCGGGUGCUACAUUUUCAUUUAUAUCAUCACAGUUGGCACAGACUGUGAACCUGCAACCAACUGAGAUUGGUUUUGAUAUACUGCAUACAGUUACCUCAUGGUGAGAUAUUAUGUGCACAGUAGGAGUUUAAACAUUGCCCAAUUUAUGUAGAAGGUGUACUAUUUGAGGUGACUUUGAUUCCUUUUAAUUUGGUAGACUUUGAUCUCAUACUAGGGAUGGACUGGUUAUCUGUGCACGAUGCGCAUGUCGGUUGUAGGAGUAAAAUAAUGACCUUUCCUCGAUCUGGACAACCAGAUAUUGUAUUUCAAGGAGAACAAUGAAUUCUCCAUAACAAUAUUAUUUCUACCCACAAGGCAAUAAAGUCCUUACAGAAAGGUUGUGAGGGGUUCUUAGCUUAUGCAGUCGCACCGAGCGAACCUUCUGUUAGUGUUGACCAUGUGCCUAUCGUUUUAGUAGAGUUUUAUUAAAUGUACUCUCUUUAUGUUUUGGUGCAACAGUUGGAAGCGAUUCAGUCCAUCCUAGUUCGAGUGGCUCUCUAGUAGUGGAGUACUUUUGAGUGGACCCCUUCUAAACUUAAUUAUUUUUUUAUAAAAUAUUAGCCUAGCAUGCAUUUCAUACUUCAUGAUUUGAGCACGUUUUAUAAUAUGUUUUACGGAGAAUUUUAAAUUGCUUUUAUGGAAUAUUUAUGAUUUAUCGAAUUUACGUUUUACUAAAGGUUUUGAAUUAUUAGAAUUGCGUAUAUGAAAUUCUAUGGAUUUAGAAUAUGAGUUAUUUUGCAGGUUUACGAAUAUGAGAUUCCAUGGAUUUAUGGAUAUGACUUACUAUGGAUUUAUGAGACAAGGUUUGAGCUUUUGAGCUCCAAUGGUUUGAUAUGAGAUUUUUAAGUAUGUUUUCGGUACUUAUCUAGUGGAUUAUCAUACCACACAUCGACACAAUACAUGUAUGUAGACGUCUAUGGCCAUAGGACACAGUUGAGGAGAUUUAUGUAUAUACCUCUUCUCCGACAUAACCCGAAAUCGCACAGCUUCACCUUCGGGUGAUGGACCAUUGUUUUCUUCACUGAUGUAACCCAAUGGGGUUGUGGACAGGUAUUGCCUUCGGGCGGAUGAUGAGUAGAUGAUAUUGAUGAUAUACCCCCAGCUUCGCUAGCCCAGGGCUAGUGUCGGUGUGUGAUGUUAUAAUCCUCUUCUUCGGCGUAACCCGAAGUUGUACAACUUUAUCUUCGGGUGAUGGACCAUGGUUUCUUCACUGGCGUAACCCAAUGUCGUACAGCUUCACCUUCGGGUGAUGGACAGGUACUGCCUUCGGGCGACUAUGAUACCCCUAGAAAGAGUACAUUUGAGCAGAUUUACGGAUAUACCUUCGGGCGGCUAUACUACUAUUUUCGAGCCCUGUUUUAUAUGCAUUUGUUUUACGAAUGAUUUCAUGGCAUGCUAGGGUUUUCUAAGAAACCUAUUAUGUAGUAUUAUAUUUGUUUUUAAAACAGGGGGUUAGUAUGUUUAGACAUAAAAUGGUUUUCCUAUUAUUAGUAUUAAUAUAAAUUAUGAUCCACUCAUCUUUUUUGUUUUGCGCCCCCUCAGGACAUAGCGACAAAGAGUACGACCCGAGCUUCAAGGCAUUUCCCUAUCAGUGACCUUGCAUCUCUCCACUUGAGUAUGGAUUCUUUUCAUGAUCAUUGUUACCUGUUAUUUUACUUCGCUCUAGCACUUUCUUUUAGUAGUAUGCUCUAAACAUAUUCAUGAUUGUUGAAUACUUCGUUUCGUUCAUGCUUAAAUUGAAUGCAUUGUUAUUAUUGCUUCUUAAUGUUGCGUAUUCGUUGUGAAUGUUGUUUCUUGCAAAAUUUUGUAUUGCUUGUUCAUUCACAUACUCACUGAUUCACACACUCAUGGCUUUCGUCACUCUUGGGUGUCAACCAGCACGUGUCAUCCAAGUGUCAUUUGAAUAUCUGGGUUAGGAUGUGUCAGAAAAUUUGAAUGAAUAUGUGAGAAUAACAACCAUUCUCUUUGAAUAUCUAAAUAUAACAAAUGCUACUCUUGUCAUAUUUUUAUAUCAUAUUUGUAGUUGUACUCUUCUUUAAUAGAGAUAGAAUGCACUUGUGUUGGUACGUCCUAUUUUUAUUAGCGAGAUAAUACAAAUAUAAUAUGAAAAAUGUAAUAAUUGUAGAAUUAUUCCUAAAUAUAUAGUCUUAAACUAUACCUAAGGCUCCGAACAUAUGAAAACAUAAAGGAGAUAAACAAGAGGAUAAUUGCUUAUAAAGGAAAAACAAGAGGGAGAGUGCAAAAUAACUAUUUUUGGCUAUAACAAAGUCCUUAUGUUGAAUCAUUUUUGUAAUCAUUUUUUUUGUCUCAUUGUGUAAAAAAAAAAUUUAAUCAUUUUAUUAAAAAAAAUUAUUAUGUAGAGAUGAUAUUUAAAGGUGAUUAUUAUUUUUUUAUUAUACAAACGAUAUUAUCGUCACUGAGGGAAAUUGAGUUUAACCUCACAAUGAGCUAACAAUACAGUGGUUCAACUUCACCUUUAGCAAGAAUCGAACCUGAGAUCUCUCACUGACAAAUGAAGAGAAAUACUAUUUGACGAGAAUCAAACUUAAAACCUCUCAUUUACAUGUAAAAAAAGAAAAACUAUUAAAGUGGCAUAUUUAAAGAGUGACUUGAAGGUAUAAAGAAAAGUUUAAAGAGGAAGGUAUCCAGCUUUCCGUUUCCUCCAUGUCUCUUUUUUUCUGCAUGUUAGCUUCUCUAGUAAGCUCGAGUAUCCAUUUUCCAACCCCAACACCCUCCCCACAUUUCCGGCUGUCCACGUUGGCCAAUCAUCACCUGAGCCACUCUCAACCCUCACCACGGUGCCAACCCCUCCACCACCACCCCCACCACCUCCUCCUCCUCUCUCCGAUCUCCCCAAAUUCCAGUUACGAAAUCCUAAAAACAAGUAAGUUCCCUUCUUCCUCGCUAUUUAACAUUAUCUAGUUUAUUUGAUAUCUUCCAUGAAUUUAUAUUUUAUCGCCUAUGAAAUCCACGAAUAUUAAGUACUUAGUUACAUUUAGCGUUUUUGAAAAUUAUAAAAAUUAGUUUCAAAUCGAUUAUCAAGUAAUUUAGCUGCUAAACUGACUGGCAUAUGAUAGGAUUUUUAACAUCUAUGCAAAUAGGGUCAAAAUCACAUGAAAUACUUGCAAGAAUACAAGGAUAUUGUAGUAUAGAUGCUCAUGCAAGGUCGUUUUCCUCGAUGACUAUUUGGAUAAUUUAUGUAGAAACAAUUCCUAAUUAAAUACUUAGAAUUAAAACUUGAGAAAAGAGAGUUUGAGAGUGGAUAAUAUUAAAAAACGAAUUUUAAACAAAGACUAAAAUAAUCGAAGAAAAGAGUUUUAAAUACCAAUUUAUAAAGGCACUAAGGUUCCACCAUCACCUAACAAUCCUAUGAAUUGCUACCAAUUACUUACGAUUUACACAUGCCACUUCGAAGGUUAGGUUUUCCUAAUAUAUAUUCUCCUCGUGAUGUUCAAGCAAGAACGUAUAUCUAACAUGCAAUCCGUCUGUGAUAUUCAGAUCAAAUAUGAACAUGCAAGACUCAUUAAGUUUUAUGAAAACCUUUUGAAGAACCAUGCAACCCCUAAGAACGUGAUAUUCACCUUAGAUGAAAUUAAAAUUAUCAAUCACAAGAAGCAAUACUCAAUCCUCCGGUGAUAUUCCGACCGAAUUGCAUCCAAUUACUUGUCUAAACAUCCUAAUGGUGGCCAAUCAUCAAGAUAAUAAGAUAGUUUAAAACGGCAAUCAAUAAUUCAAAGUAUGCAUGGUUUCGCCCUAGCAAAAAGAAUUAGUUAUGCAUAUUCAUAAUUGAAAUCAUAGAAAAUAUUAUUAAAAAUAAAAGGAAUGAAAGCAUCUUAAAGUAGAAAAUCUCCAAGAACCAUAGCCAAGUUCUUUGUCUCUGAAAUUGAAUAAUAAUAAGCGUCCUCAAAAACUGUAGACGGCCAAAGCAAUAUAUUUGCUCAGCCCUUACAAACCCUAAGACCUUGGUUUCUUAUUCCAACUAGGAAACUAAGAAAAAAUAAUAAAAAUAUCUUAGAAAAUAAAACCCUAAUAUCUGCCAAGUACUUGUCCAGCCACGUUUUAGUCUCAGAUCUCCUCCAAAUCCGGCCCAAGAUAGGUUGUUUUAAAGAUAAGGACGUUCCAAACACAUCUCCAGAAGGCCACGAAACCAUCCGAGGUUAUCUUAGGCUCCAAAAACGCAAUUUAAUCCCACAAAUGUCAUUUUCCAGCACCGCGCAUCACUCCUUUAUUUUAUCGCCAAAAAAUAAUCGCUUGAUGGAAAAAUCCCAAAUUUUGAUACGACCAAGCUAAGUGACUCACGAACGUCUUCCAACUAGAAUUACUCCAAAAUUCGUCCAUUUGACCACGUUUUUCUCCAGAGGAAGUCGAAAGUCCUAUAUUGAAAAUACAAUUCAAAGUAUCAAAAUUCUUCCAAAAUAUUAACCAAAAUAUACUAAAAAUAGGGUUAAAUAUAUAAUAUAAAAUUCACUUAUCAGCAUACUUACUGACUGACUGGUUCUUUGUAGAUUUUGCUAAUUUGCCUCAGAAUCUGCAGCUUAUCUGACUAAAUUGUUCCAGUAUUUAGUUCAAUAGUUAGCAAAUCGAAGAAGGUUCGAUGGAAAUUCCAACUGCAUCAACAUAUGAUAAAAAACAAGAUAAAACUCUCCAAUGAAUUUGGGUGAUAAGGGAGAAACAAGUAAUCAUUUGGAGGAUCGGAUUGGUCAACUGCCGGACGCGAUUCUGAUUAACAUCAUUUCCCCUUUGAGGAUUAAGGAAGUAGCAAGGACUAGUGUCCUCUCUAAGAGGUGGAGAUAUUUGUGGACACAUGUUACACGUCUCAACUUUGCUCAUCAUGAUGGUGAACAUCUACGUACCUCCAUAAGGACCACAACAGUUAAUCCGUCAGAGAGACGUCGUCUAGAAGAAGCGACCAACAGAAGACAACGAAUCCGGCAAUCGCACCAGGGUUUAACACCUUUAAACUUAGGUGAAUUCAGAGGUGGUUCUUCCUCAGCAGGUUCCGGUUCAAGAUCUAGGCACCCCGAUGGGAUUCCAAGACAAAUUGACCCACCAUCACCACCACCGUGUACGGUGGUGACCGAAGUCCUGCGAUCGCAUCAGGGUCCAACCAUAGAUGGAGUCAGAAUUUGUGGAUCUUGCUAUAGCUCGGAUAAUGUCGAUGAUUUUAUCAAAUUUGCAAUUCAAAAGAAAGUUCAAUGGCUUGAGAUAUACCAAUCGAUAGAAAAAAAGGCCAAGUCUUGGGAGAAGCCUUUCAACAACCCUUUUGGUGUUUCACGCAUUAAGUCCCUUAGACACCUCUCUUUGAUGUGCAUGCCUAUAACUGAUGAAGUUGUUGGGCUGGUUGUAUCCGAAUGUCAACUUCUUGAACACCUCAGUAUUUUUGGCUCAAGCGAUCUUUAUGCUGUGAAAGCAGUUGGUUCAUCACUCCGGUUGAAGUUCCUACAAAUAAGUUAUUGCGGUGGCAUAGUCAGAGUUGAUAUUUCUGCCCCUAAUCUUGUGUCAUUUAUAUAUC
RNAcentral lists this long non-coding RNA (23603 nucleotides) under Malus domestica (apple). RNAcentral's name for it is "long non-coding RNA (MDOM_LNC001504)". The record is from RNAcentral. Lineage: Eukaryota; Viridiplantae; Streptophyta; Magnoliopsida; Rosales; Rosaceae.